This 254-nucleotide ribosomal RNA is filed under the name uncultured bacterium. Its description in RNAcentral is "partial 16S ribosomal RNA". It matches the Rfam family "Bacterial small subunit ribosomal RNA", at positions 524 to 776 of the family's 1533-position model. The record is from RNAcentral.
UACGGGGGGAGCAAGCGUUGUUCGGAUUUACUGGGCGUAAAGGGCGCGUAGGCGGCCACCGCAAGUCAGUUGUGAAAUCCCCGGGCUUAACCUGGGAACUGCGCUUGUAACUGGCAAGCUAGAGUGUGGCAGAGGGGGGUGGAAUUCCACGUGUAGCAGUGAAAUGCGUAGAGAUGUGGAGGAACACCGAUGGCGAAGGCAGCCCCCUGGGCUAACACUGACGCUCAUGCACGAAAGCGUGGGGAGCAAACAGG